GGUUCACUGCAAACUUUGGAAUUGAUUUUGUUAUUUCGGUUGACACAGGGGCAAAUUGAAAAGAGUCAGGGUGAUAUUGUUGCAGACAAGGAUGUUAUCAUUCGUCGUUCAUGGUUGAAUGGUGCGAAACAUAUGUUACGCUGAUACAGACAGAGCCACAGCAUCGGCAGUCCUUAUAUUGUGGGUUUGGUAUGUAAUAUACAAUUUCUUUUACCUAAAGCUAUGAAUCACCGACACGCCCACUGAAUCUAAUUAUGACGUCACUUCCGGUCCGCGGGGCUUAUUUCGCUACUUCCUUACGCUUUGACUUUUGAC
RNAcentral lists this long non-coding RNA (315 nucleotides) under Dendronephthya gigantea. RNAcentral's name for it is "uncharacterized LOC114543879, transcript variant X2". The record is from RNAcentral. Lineage: Eukaryota; Metazoa; Cnidaria; Anthozoa; Malacalcyonacea; Nephtheidae.